RNAcentral lists this ribosomal RNA (547 nucleotides) under uncultured bacterium. RNAcentral describes it as "bacterial SSU rRNA". It matches the Rfam family "Bacterial small subunit ribosomal RNA", at positions 355 to 896 of the family's 1533-position model. The record is from RNAcentral.
UGGGGAAUAUUGCGCAAUGGGGGGAACCCUGACGCAGCCAUGCCGCGUGAAUGAAGAAGGCCUUCGGGUUGUAAAGUUCUUUCGGUAUUGAGGAAGGUUGAUGUGUUAAUAGCACAUCAAAUUGACGUUAAAUACAGAAGAAGCACCGGCUAACUCCGUGCCAGCAGCCGCGGUAAUACGGAGGGUGCGAGCGUUAAUCGGAAUAACUGGGCGUAAAGGGCACGCAGGCGGUUAUUUAAGUGAGGUGUGAAAGCCCUGGGCUUAACCUAGGAAUUGCAUUUCAGACUGGGUAACUAGAGUACUUUAGGGAGGGGUAGAAUUCCACGUGUAGCGGUGAAAUGCGUAGAGAUGUGGAGGAAUACCGAAGGCGAAGGCAGCCCCUUGGGAAUGUACUGACGCUCAUGUGCGAAAGCGUGGGGAGCAAACAGGAUUAGAUACCCUGGUAGUCCACGCUGUAAACGCUGUCGAUUUGGGGGUUGGGCUUAGAGCUUGGUGCCCGUAGCUAACGUGAUAAAUCGACCGCCUGGGGAGUACGGCCGCAAGGUUA